UAUACUGCCCAGUUUUUAGCUUUACUUUGAAAUUAGAGGCGCCACAUUUUGAAAGACAAUUUCUUCGUUCACUUUGUUUUAACAUACGCUACUUCCUGCUGCUUCAUCUUCCUCACGGACAUAUUAUUGCUUCAUCUUCCUAAAGACGUCACAAAUGCUGCUUCUGCUUCUGCUUCAUCUCAUAAACAACAGGUUUAAUCUUCCUCUUCCUCUUGCUUAAUUGGAAAACGCACAUACUGUUUCAUCUCAUACAGCUUUAUCUUUCUCCUGCUUCCUCUAGUCGUUGCUACUGCUUCUGCUUGAAAACCUAAUUCGCAGGACGGAUAUACGGAAUGGAUUGCUCUAAAGUUUACCUACCCGAAGCGUAAUAUAUGAUUUCAUUACUAGUAUGAUGACUUGAUGUGCCGUGCACGGCUUCCUGAAGACAGCAGCAUGCUGUCAGUUUGAGAUGGGCAUGAUCAAGUUCUUCCUGGUGGUCAUGGAUUAAUGACUCAAGGCUAAUUUCCCCUAAUAGAUGCACUAGCAAAAGGCAUGGACAUACAGUUGAAUCACAGGAGUAUAUUGCAAGAUUAAGCACAUAUAGCCAAGAUGGAAUAGAUGAGGUUCAUGAGCAAUGAGCAAAGUUCUUUAGAUCGAACUUUUUGUAAACUAAAGGUAAUUUUAUACAAGCAAUAGUAGUACUACUAUUCGAUCAUAUGUGAUCAUAUAUAUAUAAGUGUAGUAGUGGAUGUUAUGUAAAAGAAUAUUUUCUAAUUAAUGUACAUAUUAUUCAAUCGUAUA
Molecule: long non-coding RNA, 780 nt
Organism: Amaranthus tricolor (Joseph's coat)
Lineage: Eukaryota; Viridiplantae; Streptophyta; Magnoliopsida; Caryophyllales; Amaranthaceae
Exons: 3
Source: RefSeq, a predicted model, not a curated record